This 1440-nucleotide long non-coding RNA is filed under the name Homo sapiens (human). Its description in RNAcentral is "HSALNT0116435". The record is from RNAcentral. Lineage: Eukaryota; Metazoa; Chordata; Mammalia; Primates; Hominidae.
CAGCCCUGUGUGCUCAUUCUUUCACUGGCCACUGUUACCAAGCAGAGUGGCUCCUGUCUUCCCAAGUGAUCCAUUUGCUUCAGAAACUGUUUUUGUUCGCCUUUUGAGAUCUGUCACCGUUGCUUCACGGAAGGUCAUCAUCUUCAGUUGAAAUGCCAUACUCAAAGAAGACUUUCCACAAGAUCAUGAAGAAACAUCUAAAAAAGAAUGGCAGCACUCAGACCGUGUGUUUCAAGGUCCACGCUAGCACAGAUUAAUGAACCCUAGAAUUACAUAAUAAAAGAGAGAGAUCCUCAGAGAUACCCUGAUUUUCGUCUUUUAUUUGAUGAGAAAGGAGUUGAAAGCCCAGGUAGUUAAGUGCACUUUCUGACGUCACUCAGCCUGUCUGUAAAAAGGUGUUCCAAAUUAUUGCCUGGUCUCUGUCCUCUCAACAUACAGCUUUUCAAAAGCCAUAUUCUAUGAUUCUCAACAGAUUAGAAAUCUGUUGAGACUUGCCAAAUCUGUAUGACUUGCCAAAAAUAGGAACAGGUGAAAAUAUUCUAAAAAUGCUCUCAUUAAUAAAGUUAAUUAACUAUAAUGCUCUGGACCUUCAGAGUUUUAAAGCUAGAAAACUGCUUUUUAAAAAAAUUUCUGAGCAGUUUCUGCCUUCUGGUUCAUAGAUUGGCAUUUUACUUUAAGGAGGAGAGUCUUUUUGUUCUGCAAAGUCUGGAUUGGUCCCUUUUGGCUGUGACAAUUUAAGGAUGUUAAAUUUGUUAGGAGCCUGAUGCUUAUAAACUAUCAGGGCAUAGGGUAAGUGGACCUCCAGCCCAGUGUUCUUAUUUCCUUUCACAUACUUGGGAGCAAUGAGCUCUUGUAGGGUCAGAGUGAUGGUGACAGUGAUGUCAUCCACUUGUGGUUAAAAGUUGUCGGGACAUGUCUGAGGGCCCUAGAGGAAAGACGCCCUAAGGGAAAGUGGAGUCUGAAUUUGGACUUCCAUCUCAGGCAAGUAGAAACUGGAUCUUUGCACUUCUGUCUUGCUGGUGCCGGACCCCAGGUUUUUCAGCCACCUCUUUGUGGUGUUUGGACAUGUCCCAGAGAAAAUGCUGUAUGCAAGUGUGCUGAAGUCGCCUGUGAGCACCAAACAUGGUGGAACUGAUUCCUGUCGCUUUGCUGUGGGGUGCUCUUGACCGAACAUGAACUUGAAAGGAACAUGAUCUACUGAGUGAACGGUCAGCAUCUGCAGCAGUGGUCAAAGAACAGGGAGGUCUUGUCAGCAAGACCCAUUAGCUGGCCAGACCCUGUCUAAGGAAAACACAGGACAUCAUGGCUCUCCUGGCACCAGAGCCCACAGUCAGCGUCCUGAGAGUGCUAGAAGUGAUUGAGGAAGCCAGCGCUGGGCUUGCUGAGUCAGCAAUGUAGGAGUUCUCCACCAGCCCACUUCACUGAGAGCCUUCAAUUGGU